This 75-nucleotide transfer RNA is filed under the name Klebsiella phage vB_KaeM_KaAlpha. RNAcentral describes it as "tRNA-Gly". It matches the Rfam family "tRNA". From Rfam's summary of the family: Transfer RNA (tRNA) molecules are approximately 80 nucleotides in length. Lineage: Duplodnaviria; Heunggongvirae; Uroviricota; Caudoviricetes; Pantevenvirales; Straboviridae. The record is from RNAcentral. RNAcentral also lists the same sequence under 2 other names.
GCAUCCAUCGUAUAGCGGCUAUUAUAGUUGGUUUCCACCCAACGGAGGAGAGUUCGAUUCUCUCUGGAUGCUCCA